This 22-nucleotide small nuclear RNA is filed under the name Arabidopsis thaliana (thale cress). RNAcentral's name for it is "snRNA_09040". The record is from RNAcentral. Lineage: Eukaryota; Viridiplantae; Streptophyta; Magnoliopsida; Brassicales; Brassicaceae.
UUAACGAGAUUCCCACUGUCCC